Oncorhynchus mykiss (rainbow trout) is the source of this 119-nucleotide ribosomal RNA. The record is from Ensembl. Lineage: Eukaryota; Metazoa; Chordata; Actinopteri; Salmoniformes; Salmonidae.
GCUUACGGCCACACCGGCCUGAGUACACCUGAUCUCGUCCGAUCUCGGAAGCUAAGCAGGGUCGGGCCUGGUUAGUACUUGGAUGGGAGACCGCCUGGAAAUACCAGGUGCUGUAAGCU